Molecule: ribosomal RNA, 506 nt
Filed under: uncultured bacterium
Lineage: Bacteria
Description: partial 16S ribosomal RNA
Rfam family: Bacterial small subunit ribosomal RNA
Source: RNAcentral
GAUGAACGCUAGCUACAGGCUAAACACAUGCAAGUCGAGGGGUAACAAGAGAAAAGCUUGCUUUUCUUGUUGACGACCGGCGCACGGGUGAGUAACGCGUAUCCAACCUGCCUAUAACUAGGGAAUAACCUUGCGAAAGUAAGACUAAUACCCUAUGAUUUCCUUUGAUGACAUCAGAUUAGGAAUAAAGAUUUAUCGGUUAUAGAUGGGGAUGCGUCUGAUUAGCUUGUUGGCGGGGUAACGGCCCACCAAGGCAACGAUCAGUAGGGGUUCUGAGAGGAAGGUCCCCCACAUUGGAACUGAGACACGGUCCAAACUCCUACGGGAGGCAGCAGUGAGGAAUAUUGGUCAAUGGGCGAAAGCCUGAACCAGCCAAGUAGCGUGCAGGAUGACGGCCCUAUGGGUUGUAAACUGCCUUUAUACAGGAAUAAAGUUAGCCACGUGUGGUUAUUUGUAGGUACUGUAUGAAUAAGGACCGGCUAAUUCCGUGCCAGCCGCCGCCGUAA